UGGGGAAUAUUGGACAAUGGGCGAAAGCCUGAUCCAGCCAUGCCGCGUGUGUGAAGAAGGUCUUCGGAUUGUAAAGCACUUUAAGUUGGGAGGAAGGGCAUUAACCUAAUACGUUAGUGUUUUGACGUUACCGACAGAAUAAGCACCGGCUAACUCUGUGCCAGCAGCCGCGGUAAUACAGAGGGUGCAAGCGUUAAUCGGAAUUACUGGGCGUAAAGCGCGCGUAGGUGGUUUGUUAAGUUGGAUGUGAAAGCCCCGGGCUCAACCUGGGAACUGCAUCCAAAACUUGCAAGCUAGAGUACGGUAGAGGGUGGUGGAAUUUCCUGUGUAGCGGUGAAA
RNAcentral lists this ribosomal RNA (339 nucleotides) under uncultured bacterium. RNAcentral's name for it is "partial 16S ribosomal RNA". It matches the Rfam family "Bacterial small subunit ribosomal RNA", at positions 355 to 686 of the family's 1533-position model. The record is from RNAcentral.